UUAAGCGACUAAGCGUACACGGUGGAUGCCCUGGCAGUCAGAGGCGAUGAAGGACGUGCUAAUCUGCGAUAAGCGUCGGUAAGGUGAUAUGAACCGUUAUAACCGGCGAUUUCCGAAUGGGGAAACCCAGUGUGAUUCGUCACACUAUCAUUAACUGAAUCCAUAGGUUAAUGAGGCGAACCGGGGGAACUGAAACAUCUAAGUACCCCGAGGAAAAGAAAUCAACCGAGAUUCCCCAGUAGCGGCGAGCGAACGGGGAGCAGCCCAGAGCCUGAAUCAGUGUGUGUGUUAGUGGAAGCGUCUGGAAAGGCGCGCGAUACAGGGUGACAGCCCCGUACACAAAAAUGCACAUGCUGUGAGCUCGAUGAGUAGGGCGGGACACGUGGUAUCCUGUCUGAAUAUGGGGGGACCAUCCUCCAAGGCUAAAUACUCCUGACUGACCGAUAGUGAACCAGUACCGUGAGGGAAAGGCGAAAAGAACCCCGGCGAGGGGAGUGAAAAAGAACCUGAAACCGUGUACGUACAAGCAGUGGGAGCACAGAGCAAUCUGUGUGACUGCGUACCUUUUGUAUAAUGGGUCAGCGACUUAUAUUCUGUAGCAAGGUUAACCGAAUAGGGGAGCCGAAGGGAAACCGAGUCUUAACUGGGCGUUAAGUUGCAGGGUAUAGACCCGAAACCCGGUGAUCUAGCCAUGGGCAGGUUGAAGGUUGGGUAACACUAACUGGAGGACCGAACCGACUAAUGUUGAAAAAUUAGCGGAUGACUUGUGGCUGGGGGUGAAAGGCCAAUCAAACCGGGAGAUAGCUGGUUCUCCCCGAAAGCUAUUUAGGUAGCGCCUCGUGAAUUCAUCUCCGGGGGUAGAGCACUGUUUCGGCAAGGGGGUCAUCCCGACUUACCAACCCGAUGCAAACUGCGAAUACCGGAGAAUGUUAUCACGGGAGACACACGGCGGGUGCUAACGUCCGUCGUGAAGAGGGAAACAACCCAGACCGCCAGCUAAGGUCCCAAAGUCAUGGUUAAGUGGGAAACGAUGUGGGAAGGCCCAGACAGCCAGGAUGUUGGCUUAGAAGCAGCCAUCAUUUAAAGAAAGCGUAAUAGCUCACUGGUCGAGUCGGCCUGCGCGGAAGAUGUAACGGGGCUAAACCAUGCACCGAAGCUGCGGCAGCGACACUAUGUGUUGUUGGGUAGGGGAGCGUUCUGUAAGCCUGUGAAGGUGUACUGUGAGGUAUGCUGGAGGUAUCAGAAGUGCGAAUGCUGACAUAAGUAACGAUAAAGCGGGUGAAAAGCCCGCUCGCCGGAAGACCAAGGGUUCCUGUCCAACGUUAAUCGGGGCAGGGUGAGUCGACCCCUAAGGCGAGGCCGAAAGGCGUAGUCGAUGGGAAACAGGUUAAUAUUCCUGUACUUGGUGUUACUGCGAAGGGGGGACGGAGAAGGCUAUGUUGGCCGGGCGACGGUUGUCCCGGUUUAAGCGUGUAGGCUGGUUUUCCAGGCAAAUCCGGAAAAUCAAGGCUGAGGCGUGAUGACGAGGCACUACGGUGCUGAAGCAACAAAUGCCCUGCUUCCAGGAAAAGCCUCUAAGCAUCAGGUAACAUCAAAUCGUACCCCAAACCGACACAGGUGGUCAGGUAGAGAAUACCAAGGCGCUUGAGAGAACUCGGGUGAAGGAACUAGGCAAAAUGGUGCCGUAACUUCGGGAGAAGGCACGCUGAUAUGUAGGUGAAGUCCCUCGCGGAUGGAGCUGAAAUCAGUCGAAGAUACCAGCUGGCUGCAACUGUUUAUUAAAAACACAGCACUGUGCAAACACGAAAGUGGACGUAUACGGUGUGACGCCUGCCCGGUGCCGGAAGGUUAAUUGAUGGGGUCAGCGCAAGCGAAGCUCUUGAUCGAAGCCCCGGUAAACGGCGGCCGUAACUAUAACGGUCCUAAGGUAGCGAAAUUCCUUGUCGGGUAAGUUCCGACCUGCACGAAUGGCGUAAUGAUGGCCAGGCUGUCUCCACCCGAGACUCAGUGAAAUUGAACUCGCUGUGAAGAUGCAGUGUACCCGCGGCAAGACGGAAAGACCCCGUGAACCUUUACUAUAGCUUGACACUGAACAUUGAGCCUUGAUGUGUAGGAUAGGUGGGAGGCUUUGAAGUGUGGACGCCAGUCUGCAUGGAGCCGACCUUGAAAUACCACCCUUUAAUGUUUGAUGUUCUAACGUUGACCCGUAAUCCGGGUUGCGGACAGUGUCUGGUGGGUAGUUUGACUGGGGCGGUCUCCUCCUAAAGAGUAACGGAGGAGCACGAAGGUUGGCUAAUCCUGGUCGGACAUCAGGAGGUUAGUGCAAUGGCAUAAGCCAGCUUGACUGCGAGCGUGACGGCGCGAGCAGGUGCGAAAGCAGGUCAUAGUGAUCCGGUGGUUCUGAAUGGAAGGGCCAUCGCUCAACGGAUAAAAGGUACUCCGGGGAUAACAGGCUGAUACCGCCCAAGAGUUCAUAUCGACGGCGGUGUUUGGCACCUCGAUGUCGGCUCAUCACAUCCUGGGGCUGAAGUAGGUCCCAAGGGUAUGGCUGUUCGCCAUUUAAAGUGGUACGCGAGCUGGGUUUAGAACGUCGUGAGACAGUUCGGUCCCUAUCUGCCGUGGGCGCUGGAGAACUGAGGGGGGCUGCUCCUAGUACGAGAGGACCGGAGUGGACGCAUCACUGGUGUUCGGGUUGUCAUGCCAAUGGCACUGCCCGGUAGCUAAAUGCGGAAGAGAUAAGUGCUGAAAGCAUCUAAGCACGAAACUUGCCCCGAGAUGAGUUCUCCCUGACUCCUUGAGAGUCCUGAAGGAACGUUGAAGACGACGACGUUGAUAGGCCGGGUGUGUAAGCGCAGCGAUGCGUUGAGCUAACCGGUACUAAUGAACCGUGAGGCUUAACCU
RNAcentral lists this ribosomal RNA (2901 nucleotides) under Escherichia coli. Its description in RNAcentral is "23S ribosomal RNA". It matches the Rfam family "Bacterial large subunit ribosomal RNA". Lineage: Bacteria; Pseudomonadati; Pseudomonadota; Gammaproteobacteria; Enterobacterales; Enterobacteriaceae. The record is from RNAcentral.